GACGAACGCUGGCGGCGUGCUUGACACAUGCAAGUCGAACGGAAAGGCCUGCUUUCCCUUGUGGAUUGCGGGUACUCGAGUGGCGAACGGGCGAGUAACACGUGAGUGAUCUGCCCCCAACUUGUGUAUAAGCCUGGGAAACUGGGUCUAAUUACCGAUAGGACUGCAGGGUGGUGCCGGUGGUGGAAGACGAUGUUCUAGUGGUUGGGGAUGAGCUGGCGGCCUAUCAGCUUGUUGGUGGGGUAAUGGCGUACCAAGGCGGCGACGGGUAGGCGGCCUGGGAUAGCGGGCGGGAGAAUGGGGACUGAGAGACGGGGCCGACGCCUACGGGAGGCAGCAGUGGGGAGUCAGGCGUGAUGAGCGGAAGCCUGAUGCAGCGACGCCGCGGGGGGGAUGACGGCUUUCGGGUUGUAGACUCCUGUCGACAGCGAGGAAGCGACCUGGAUGGAAGGGUGGUGACGGUAGUGGGAGAAGAAGCACCGGCUAACUACGUG
This 494-nucleotide ribosomal RNA is filed under the name uncultured bacterium. RNAcentral's name for it is "partial 16S ribosomal RNA". It matches the Rfam family "Bacterial small subunit ribosomal RNA", at positions 28 to 507 of the family's 1533-position model. The record is from RNAcentral.